Molecule: long non-coding RNA, 396 nt
Organism: Salvia miltiorrhiza (redroot sage)
Lineage: Eukaryota; Viridiplantae; Streptophyta; Magnoliopsida; Lamiales; Lamiaceae
Exons: 2
Source: RefSeq, a predicted model, not a curated record
GGUGGUUGUUUCAGGUGCUGAGUAUAUCACUAGCUGCAUUAGGCUCUCUAAUGUGGCUCAGGAAAAACAAGCCCAAGACGUUGAUUCCUAUAAUAUAUGCUUGCGCAGGAAUAGUGGCGACAAUGCCAUCAAUUACAAGUUAUCUGAAACUUGGCUUGGGGUGGCACUUCCCAAAGGUGGUAGGUUUCGAGCUGUUCACUUCAGUGGUGAUGGCUUUCAUUAGCUGGCAGUUGUUUGCUGCAUGCCAGAGACCAUCAAACUGAGGAUCUUGAUAUGAGUCUUGUAGGAAAUUAUUUGACUUGAUCAAUUUGAGGCUACUGCUGUAGAAUUUGUUGUAAAACUCAACUUUUUUUGAGCCUGUUUGAGAAAUUCUAUACAUAGACACUACUUUUCUUA